AUCUCUGUAGAGUCUGCAUAUCAAUAAGCGGAGGAAAAGAAACUAACUAGGAUUCCCUUAGUAACGGCGAGUGAAGCGGGAAGAGCUCGAAUUUGAAAUCUUCAAGGUUUUACCUUGACGAAUUGUAGUUUAAAGAAGUGUUUUCUGUUGGUGUUUUGGUAAAAGUUCUUUGGAAUAGGACAUCAUAGAGGGUGGGAAUCCCGUAUUUGACCAUUACUUCCAGCGUUGUGAUACACUUUCAAAGAGUCGGAUUGUUUGGGAAUGCAGUCCAAAAUGGGUGGUAAAUUUCAUCUAAAGCUAAAUAUUGGCGAGAGACCGAUAGCGAACAAGUACCGUGGGGGAAAGAUGAAAUGAACUUUGAAAAGAGAGUUAAACAGUACGUGAAAUUGUCAAAAGGGAAGCGUUUGACACCAGUGUUGUUUUCUCGAAAAUCAAUUAAAAAAGGCAGGAUUUUGUGUUGUAUUGACUUUAUCAGCUUUCUGCACUCUUUUCUUGUCUUUUUUAAUGCACUUUUCGUUUAACAAGUCAACAUCAAUUUCUUUUGUUGUAAAAGGGUCAUUGGAAGGUGGCUCUCUUUUCGGAGAAAGUGUUUAUAGCCUUUGGCCUCUGCAAUCGGAGAGAUUGAGGUCUGCAGCGUAGAUCCUUCGGGGUUAGAUACAUUUGUGCUAAGUUAUAGCCUUUCAUAGACAACUUGUUGACUAUGAUCAGUCAUGUAGCUUACUCGCUUAUGCUAUUUUACCUACGCUUAGGAUGUUGACGAUCAGCUGAGCGCG
RNAcentral lists this ribosomal RNA (773 nucleotides) under uncultured Neocallimastigales. RNAcentral's name for it is "partial large subunit ribosomal RNA". It matches the Rfam family "Eukaryotic large subunit ribosomal RNA", at positions 24 to 627 of the family's 3401-position model. Lineage: Eukaryota; Fungi; Neocallimastigomycota; Neocallimastigomycetes; Neocallimastigales. The record is from RNAcentral.